UCUCCCCUUUCAGUCCCCUGACUCAUGGGCUCAAUGCCCCCUCAUGGGCUUUCCUCAUACUCCUCAGAGCCCCCACCCCAGUCUCUCCUAUCAAUCCCACCGUGGAUGUCCCCUCUCAGUCUCUCCCUGUGCCGUCCUCAGUUUUCCCUCACAGUUACAUUUCCAGUCUGCCUUGUCAGUCUCACCAUGGAUGUCCCCUCUCAAUGCCCCCUUCACAAUCAUCCCCCUCACAGUCUCCCUUCUCAGUUUCCCCACAGUCACCUCUCAGCUUCCCCCCCCAGUCCCACAGAGAUGAUCUCUCUCAAUGUCCUCCUCAGAGUGUCUCUCUCCAUUUUUUCCUCUCAGUCACCUCCUGCAAUUUCCCCUCUCAGUCCCACUGUGGACAUUCCUCUCAAUGUCCCCCUCACAACACCCCCUCCCAAGCUCCCCCUCAGUGCCCCCAAUUUCCCCCAUGCCCUCAGAGCAGCCACACAUGAGGGCAAAUGUCCCAUUGGAGCUGACCCACUCUCAGGCACUAGCAUCAAACCCAGCCUCGCUUUACAAACGCUUUCUGCUCUGUCUAGACAGACUUCCCCAGCCCAAAACAGGUUUAGAAGACUGGAGAUCAUGUAGUUCCAUGGAUUUCCAUACUGGUUCCCAACCUGAGAAUCAGGUCCUAUGAGCCCCGGUGACGUGUGUGGCAGCAGAGCUCCUUGUACCCAAACGGGUUGCUUGGGGCUGUUUUCAUCACCUUCAUGGUGGAAUGUCCUCCAAGGGCAGCCACAAUGGGAGGAGAGGCUGGAGAAGAUCUGGACACAAUUCUGGAUGUGCUGACGAGCUCCAUAAGCUGAGAUGGAUUCAACAGCAAUAAUUUAUUGGUUUAAAGGAGAUCUAUAAUGACAGAUUCCUUUGCAAAGAGACACGGUGAACUGGCUGGCAGGUCGUGUGAUGAGAAGGAAUCUGCCCCGGGACACCGUGAAGAGCUGGGAUCUUCUGCCUGCUGUUUGUCGUGGCAAAGGGGAGAUGCCUGCAUUCAGCUGCUGCUGAAACCAGGAAUGCCAGCUCAAAACCUGGAACAUCAGCUUGGGACGAUGCUGCUCUGAUGCCGCUGUGGCUGAAGAGACUCAACCCCACAUCCUCGGCCAGCCAGAUCACGUGCCAAGGGCUGCGGCUGAAGCAGGGUUGGAGCAAAAAUACGAAAGCAAAAACGAUUUGGAGUUGACACAGUGUAUUGUGAAUUACUUCUCAGCUUUUCUACAUCUAAGAGAGCAUGAAAUGAUCGGCCGUA
Molecule: long non-coding RNA, 1267 nt
Organism: Passer domesticus (house sparrow)
Lineage: Eukaryota; Metazoa; Chordata; Aves; Passeriformes; Passeridae
Exons: 3
Source: RefSeq, a predicted model, not a curated record